RNAcentral lists this ribosomal RNA (689 nucleotides) under Paenibacillus sp. G03 45-14. RNAcentral describes it as "bacterial SSU rRNA". It matches the Rfam family "Bacterial small subunit ribosomal RNA", at positions 69 to 749 of the family's 1533-position model. The record is from RNAcentral. Lineage: Bacteria; Bacillati; Bacillota; Bacilli; Caryophanales; Paenibacillaceae.
AGCUUGCUUCCAAAACAACUUAGCGGCGGACGGGUGAGUAACACGUAGGUAACCUGCCUAUAAGACUGGGAUAACUACCGGAAACGGUAGCUAAUACCGGAUAAUUUGUUUCUUCUCCUGAAGAGACACUGAAAGGCGGAGUAAUCUGCCACUUAUAGAUGGGCCUGCGGCGCAUUAGCUAGUUGGUGAGGUAACGGCUCACCAAGGCGACGAUGCGUAGCCGACCUGAGAGGGUGAACGGCCACACUGGGACUGAGACACGGCCCAGACUCCUACGGGAGGCAGCAGUAGGGAAUCUUCCGCAAUGGACGAAAGUCUGACGGAGCAAUGCCGCGUGAGUGAUGAAGGUUUUCGGAUCGUAAAGCUCUGUUGCCAGGGAAGAACACUUGGGAGAGUAACUGCUCUCAAGGUGACGGUACCUGAGAAGAAAGCCCCGGCUAACUACGUGCCAGCAGCCGCGGUAAUACGUAGGGGGCAAGCGUUGUCCGGAAUUAUUGGGCGUAAAGCGCGCGCAGGCGGUCAUUUAAGUCUGGUGUUUAAUCCUGGGGCUCAACCCCAGGUCGCACUGGAAACUGGAUGACUUGAGUACAGAAGAGGAGAGUGGAAUUCCACGUGUAGCGGUGAAAUGCGUAGAUAUGUGGAGGAACACCAGUGGCGAAGGCGACUCUCUGGGCUGUAACUGACGCUGA